Molecule: long non-coding RNA, 469 nt
Organism: Oreochromis niloticus (Nile tilapia)
Lineage: Eukaryota; Metazoa; Chordata; Actinopteri; Cichliformes; Cichlidae
Exons: 3
Source: RefSeq, a predicted model, not a curated record
UUAAAAGAUGUUGCAGUAGAGUUUGAGAACUCUGCUUCAAGUAUUGCAAGUCUGAGACAACAAAUUGCAAUAUGUCUUCUUGAGAAUUCAGAUGACCUGACUGACCUAUGCCACUAUUGUGGGAACCAGGAUGGUGACACCCAAUGGAUUGGCUGCGACAUUUGCCCACGGUGGUACCACAGGAGCUGUGCAAAGAAGCCCCGCAAGAGCAAAGAAAACAAAUUUGUCUGUGAAGCAUGCUGGUCAGCCAGUUAGGGUUUCUUUUUUGAAAUGUGUGUUUUGUAUCGUUGUCUCCAAUAGUAUUUAUUAGUUGUUUAUUUAUUUAUUCUUUCAUUUAUGUUUGUGUUGCUGUGUGUGCUUCUGUAUUGUUAACAACAUUAAAAUUCAGCUUUGAUGUUGUUUCAUGGUUUACUGGUGUUCAGCUUCCGCUAUACCCAAUGUUUCUGGUAUAUUUGUUAGUUUAUUUCAA